UGCAGUCGAGCGGUAGAGAGAAGCUUGCUUCUCUUGAGAGCGGCGGACGGGUGAGUAAUGCCUAGGAAUCUGCCUGGUAGUGGGGGAUAACGUUCGGAAACGGACGCUAAUACCGCAUACGUCCUACGGGAGAAAGCAGGGGACCUUCGGGCCUUGCGCUAUCAGAUGAGCCUAGGUCGGAUUAGCUAGUUGGUGAGGUAAUGGCUCACCAAGGCGACGAUCCGUAACUGGUCUGAGAGGAUGAUCAGUCACACUGGAACUGAGACACGGUCCAGACUCCUACGGGAGGCAGCGGUGGGGAAUAUUGGACAAUGGGCGAAAGCCUGAUCCAGCCAUGCCGCGUGUGUGAAGAGGGUCUUCGGAUUGUAAAGCACUUUAAGUUGGGAGGAAGGGCAGUUGCCUAAUACGUAACUGUUUUGACGUUACCGACAGAAUAAGCACCGGCUAACUCUGUGCCAGCAGCCGCGGUAAUACAGAGGGUGCAAGCGUUAAUCGGAAUUACUGGGCGUAAAGCGCGCGUAGGUGGUUUGUUAAGUUGGAUGUGAAAUCCCCGGGCUCAACCUGGGAACUGCAUUCAAAACUGACUGACUAGAGUAUGGUAGAGGGUGGUGGAAUUUCCUGUGUAGCGGUGAAAUGCGUAGAUAUAGGAAGGAACACCAGUGGCGAAGGCGACCACCUGGACUAAUACUGACACUGAGGUGCGAAAGCGUGGGGAGC
RNAcentral lists this ribosomal RNA (717 nucleotides) under uncultured bacterium. RNAcentral describes it as "bacterial SSU rRNA". It matches the Rfam family "Bacterial small subunit ribosomal RNA", at positions 56 to 769 of the family's 1533-position model. The record is from RNAcentral.